RNAcentral lists this long non-coding RNA (223 nucleotides) under Elaeis guineensis (African oil palm). Its description in RNAcentral is "long non-coding RNA (EGUI_LNC019889)". Lineage: Eukaryota; Viridiplantae; Streptophyta; Magnoliopsida; Arecales; Arecaceae. The record is from RNAcentral.
CCCACUUAACUUAGUGGUCACAUGUAUGUAACAAUGCUUUAUAAAUAAACGGGUGGUCUCCAUCCUUCCUUUUUAUCAAAAGAAAGAAAAAAAAAAGGCUCCCUUAGCUUAUGAGAAGUCCAAUUUAUAUAUAUAUAAUUUUUAUGAUUUCGUCAUCAUGUGUCUUGGGUGCAACUACACUGAGUUCAGCUUUGUUUGGAAUUAAUAGAAUAAAGAUUCAUCU